This 253-nucleotide ribosomal RNA is filed under the name uncultured bacterium. Its description in RNAcentral is "partial 16S ribosomal RNA". It matches the Rfam family "Bacterial small subunit ribosomal RNA", at positions 524 to 776 of the family's 1533-position model. The record is from RNAcentral.
UACAGAGGGGGCAAGCGUUGUUCGGAAUUACUGGGCGUAAAGGGCGCGUAGGCGGCCUGCUAAGUCGAACGUGAAAUCCCUGGGCUCAACCCAGGAACUGCGUCCGAUACUGGUUGGCUUGAAUCCGGGAGAGGGAUGCGGAAUUCCAGGUGUAGUGGUGGAAUGCGUAGAGAUCCGGAGGAACACCAGCGGCGAAGGCGGCAUCCUGGACUGGUCCUGACACUCAGGAGCGAAAGCGUGGGGAGCGAUCCGG